GACUGCUCCAGUGGCCUAGUGGUUAGAGCAUCUGCCUCGGAUGUGGGAGGUCAUGGGUUCGAUACCCAGCUGAGUCA
Non-coding RNA from Potamilus streckersoni, 77 nucleotides. The record is from the annotation of a GenBank genome assembly. Lineage: Eukaryota; Metazoa; Mollusca; Bivalvia; Unionida; Unionidae.